GGGGCCGACCGGUAUUGACAGCGAGACCAGUUGGAUUGUAAGCAUGCCGAGCUAUGAAAUUAAUGCUCGUUAAUAUCUAUUUCAACCUUUUUAAAUGGCGAUAAUAACUACGCUUUAGCUGCUUAAUUGACUGAAUUACAGUAAGUCCUAGCCUAGUCGCGCCAGGCGCGAAAGCUAAAUGUCCCUUGGUAGCCCUUGUUGACGGCGACCUUUUUUGGGGCACCAUAAAAGUCAACAUAGCGCUUUUGUAGCUUUGACAGAAGUGUAAAAUCUAAAAAGCUAAGGAUACAGUAGGCGGUUUUUGGUCAGCUGUAUCACGAAAACUGAACAAAGACUAAGCAUGUAGAAAGCAAUGCGAUUGCUUGUUUGGACGAGGGUUCGAAUCCCUCCGGCUCCACCA
RNAcentral lists this transfer-messenger RNA (400 nucleotides) under Flavobacteriaceae. Its description in RNAcentral is "Muricauda sp023502425 Standard tmRNA". It matches the Rfam family "transfer-messenger RNA". From Rfam's summary of the family: Bacterial tmRNA, also known as 10Sa RNA or SsrA, is named for its dual tRNA and mRNA-like properties. Its role is to liberate the mRNA from a stalled ribosome. To accomplish this part of the tmRNA is used as a reading frame that ends in a translation stop signal. RNAcentral also lists the same sequence under 1 other name. Lineage: Bacteria; Pseudomonadati; Bacteroidota; Flavobacteriia; Flavobacteriales. The record is from RNAcentral.